CAUGCCUUACACAUGCAAGUCGAACGCGAAUUAGUCUUCGGACAUUAGUAGAGUGGCAAACGGGUGAGUAACGCGUGGGACUAUACCUUAUAGUACGGAAUAGCCUCGGGAAACCGGGAUUAAUACCGAAUACGCCCGUCGGGGGAAAGAUUUAUCGCUAUAAGAUUAGCCCGCGUCAGAUUAGCUAGUUGGUGGGGUAACGGCCUACCAAGGCAACGAUCUGUAACUGGUCUGAGAGGACGAUCAGCCACAUUGGGACUGAGACACGGCCCAAACUCCUACGGGAGGCAGCAGUGGGGAAUAUUGGACAAUGGACGCAAGUCUGAUCCAGCAAUGCCGCGUGAAUGAUGAAGGCCUUAGGGUUGUAAAGCUCUUUCGACGGGGACGAUGAUGACGGUACCCGUAGAAGAAGCCCCGGCUAACUUCGUGCCAGCCGCCGCCGUAA
This 445-nucleotide ribosomal RNA is filed under the name uncultured bacterium. RNAcentral's name for it is "partial 16S ribosomal RNA". It matches the Rfam family "Bacterial small subunit ribosomal RNA", at positions 43 to 523 of the family's 1533-position model. The record is from RNAcentral.